RNAcentral lists this transfer RNA (71 nucleotides) under Bos taurus (domestic cattle). It matches the Rfam family "tRNA". Rfam says of the family: Transfer RNA (tRNA) molecules are approximately 80 nucleotides in length. Their secondary structure includes four short double-helical elements and three loops (D, anti-codon, and T loops). Further hydrogen bonds mediate the characteristic L-shaped molecular structure. tRNAs have two regions of fundamental functional importance: the anti-codon, which is responsible for specific mRNA codon recognition, and the 3' end, to which the tRNAs corresponding amino acid is attached (by aminoacyl-tRNA synthetases). tRNAs cope with the degeneracy of the genetic code in two manners: having more than one tRNA (with a specific anti-codon) for a particular amino acid; and 'wobble' base-pairing, i.e. permitting non-standard base-pairing at the 3rd anti-codon position. Lineage: Eukaryota; Metazoa; Chordata; Mammalia; Artiodactyla; Bovidae. The record is from Rfam by way of RNAcentral. RNAcentral also lists the same sequence under 2 other names.
UCCCAGGUAUCUCAGUGGUAAAGAAUCUGCCUGCAAUGCAGGAGACCUAGGUUCGAUCCCUGGGUUAGGAU